UACGGAGGGGGCUAGCGUUGUUCGGAAUUACUGGGCGUAAAGCGCGCGUAGGCGGCUUUGUAAGUUAGAGGUGAAAGCCCGGGGCUCAACCCCGGAACUGCCCUCGAAACUAGGUAGCUAGAAUCUUGGAGAGGUCAGUGGAAUUCCGAGUGUAGAGGUGAAAUUCGUAGAUAUCGGGAGGAACACCAGUGGCGAAGGCGGCCACCUGGACGAACACUGACGCUGAGACUCGAAAGCGUGGGGAGCAAACAGG
RNAcentral lists this ribosomal RNA (253 nucleotides) under uncultured bacterium. Its description in RNAcentral is "partial 16S ribosomal RNA". It matches the Rfam family "Bacterial small subunit ribosomal RNA", at positions 524 to 776 of the family's 1533-position model. The record is from RNAcentral.